CCGUUCGCACGAAUUCUUGCGCCAGCACCGCGGUUCAGCCCAAAAGACUCCCGAGCCUGCUCCGUUGGUGCGCGCGCGGACCUCCCCCCCACCUCCACGCCGGCCCAUUCAGCCAGGAUUAGCCUAUCAGAAGAGGCGAGGAGGAAAGCUGUCUUGUGAACGAAGUCGCAAACGUAAUGGCCGGGCACUUCCUGCUGCUCGGGCCGGUGGAAACGCUUUGACGCUCUGGGUCCCCGUCCCCCCCCCCCGAUUUGAUCCCCAGCUGUCGGUUGGAAAUCAGUUGGACUGAAAUCGCAAGUGCCCGCCGUAAAAAAGGGAUUUGGAGUAGGUGAAUAAGGACUCGGAGCCUGGUUCAUCCGUAUUUUCGUAGCCCCCCGCCCGCCUGUACUCUACUCACAGAAGCGAUGCGGUCCCGUCCCCCCGUCGACCUUGAUGCUACGUGAUUCUGCCGUUCCAGAAAGGAAGAACUGGGUCUGUCAACAAACGAAGCUUUGCUAUGAAUUCUAUCUGGAUGUUUUUUUAAAAAAAACUUAUCUUAAGGAGGACUUGGAUAGGGACAAAAGGAAGACUUUUGGGAAGUUCCCCCUUCCACCAUCACUUGUAGUAUUCACCUGUAUUAUUAUGGUAUCUAUCUGGUGAUUAAAAAGCUAAAUAGAUAUUUACAGACUGAAGAAUUAUGAAAUUAGAGUAUUGCCUCUGUAAUGAAUUUACUAUGGCAAAAUUUAAUUUCAUUCACGUAAAAGUCCAUGUAUGGGGGGUGGGGGAAGGGGGGAAACUAAAUAGAUAUUAAAGGAACAAUCAGGGUCAUGUGUAACCUUUGUACCACUUUUCAGGCUUGUCCUAAUGUCUUUUUAUUGCAUGUUGUCACAAUUAGGUGAGAGAACCACUUUUUCUAGCAGGAUAGGUUUACUAGGCAAUACUGCUGCUAAACACUGCUUUUCAACCUGGAUGUUAUUGACCAUUUUUCCACCAGUGUUUUACCUUCUAGAGUUACUUGAAAAUCUUUGUGAAAAUAAAAAAAGACUGUCUUUAUUACUGGAACAACAGCAUUGCAAGAUUCAUAGAUGAUCGUAUAAGAUGUUGUAAAUCCUUAGUGAAGAAUUUGUCAUUUUGCGGUCACUGGAUGAAGUUUAUUCAUUAAGAUUUUUAUCUUCAAGGUGCUCAGAAGAACAAAGGUUUUACACAAUACCUCCUCAGUUAACAGAGCAAAAUAAUGUAUAACCUGCAGAAACUCUUAAGAAAUGGGGAUAUGUGGGCAGUAUUUCUGGAUGCCUCUUUGGUGAUGCACGUGUAAAAAUCUGUUGAGAUUGAUGGCAUUCAAACGUAUAUGAAAUGAAGUUGAAUAUUAAUGUCUGAAGUUGAUUAUUAGUUCCUACCUCCCAUCCGAGUUGAAAAAAUAAAUUGCAUGUUUUGACUAAUCCAGUAAAUAAUUUACAUGGAACACUCCCUUUCCCCCAAAUAUUAAAGAAGCUUGCUUUAUCCAGAAUAAGAAAUCAGAAUUGUAUUAAAGUUUUUAGCAGUUUCCUUCUCAAGUAGGAAAUGGAAGGAUUAUGAACCUACAGUUACUAAAUAUAAAUAUUUUUAAUAAAUUGUCAUUCAUAUUACUUUGCUUAUUUAUUUUUUAUAUUAUGCCUUGUAUUUGGAGCUUAGUUUAGUUAGCUAUGAUAGAGAUACCUAACAAGCUUUUGCUGUAUCCGAAUCCCCUAGUUUCAGUUAAAUUAAAUUAAAAACCUGGCAGAAGGGGAGGAAUGAUAAAAAAGCCAAACCCUACACUUUCUAACCUUUUGCAGAAAAUUGUUUUUGCUUCACAUGUCAUCCCACUUUCUCCUGUUGUGUUCCUGUUGCAACCCUGAUUUCUGUAGUUUCUCAAUGUCCACCCCACUUCCUAUCUUCUUGCAUUUCAGGCUCCCCAUUCUCUUUCUCUCCAGCUUCUGGACAAUGGGGAGUGCUUUCCAUUUUUUUCUUUUUAGAUGCUUAAUUUUUUGUAUGGGCUAUUUAAUAAAAGAGCGCUGCCAAAAGUGGAGCCAUAUAUGCCACCUUGCUUCUGAGCUUCUGCAUACUACUGAUGAUGCAUUUGCUUUCUGCUGCUGUCUCCUCUGCCAAUUUCUUGUAAAUGUGCUGCAGAGUCCUGGCCCUGUGCCCUCUUGUAGCCACUGGAUACAUAAGUUCAUCCUAUGCUUCUUUUUUCAGAGGUUACCUCUGGGUUUCAUCAGAUUGCUCCUUCAGAUGGAUGCAGCCAUCUGUUCACAAUUUUGUGAUAAUUCAGUCUGAUGAUGGUUACAUCCUGCUAUUCGAUUAUUAUUCUUCCUAAUGAACUAAAUAGCUAAAUGAUUUGUAGUUACUUAUACAUCAAUAUCUCUGUGCUUAUAUUUGUCACACAUUUGAUUUAUUUUCCACUUUUCAAGAGAACUGCUUCCAAUGUUAUAUAUGAGUAGAAGUAGAAUAAACUUGCAGAUGGAGUGGAUGGCUGAUUAGAACA
Long non-coding RNA from Pantherophis guttatus, 2479 nucleotides. RefSeq lists it as uncharacterized. Lineage: Eukaryota; Metazoa; Chordata; Lepidosauria; Squamata; Colubridae. The record is from RefSeq and is a predicted model, not a curated record.